UGACAACCACUCCUCCUUGCCCUACCC
RNAcentral lists this non-coding RNA (27 nucleotides) under Rattus norvegicus (Norway rat). Lineage: Eukaryota; Metazoa; Chordata; Mammalia; Rodentia; Muridae. The record is from RNAcentral.